This 478-nucleotide ribosomal RNA is filed under the name uncultured bacterium. RNAcentral describes it as "partial 16S ribosomal RNA". It matches the Rfam family "Bacterial small subunit ribosomal RNA", at positions 28 to 507 of the family's 1533-position model. The record is from RNAcentral.
GAUGAACGCUGGCGGCGUGCUUAACACAUGCAAGUCGAACGAGAAGUGAAGACGGAAACCUUCGGGCGGAAGGCUUUAUUUCGAGUGGCGGACGGGUGAGUAACGCGUGGGUAACCUGCCUCAUACAGGGGGAUAACAGUUGGAAACGACUGUUAAUACCGCAUAAGACCACAGCACCGCAUGGUGCGGGGGUAAAAACUCCGGUGGUAUGAGAUGGACCCGCGUUCGAUUAGCCAGUUGGCGGGGUAACGGCCCACCAAAGCGACGAUCGAUAGCCGAUCUGAGAGGAUGACCGGCCACAUUGGGACUGAGACACGGCCCAAACUCCUACGGGAGGCAGCAGUGGGGAAUAUUGCACAAUGGGGGAAACCCUGAUGCAGCGACGCCGCGUGAGUGAAGAAGUAUUUGGGUAUGUAAAGCUCUAUCAGCAGGGAAGAAAAUGACGGUACCUGAGUAAGAAGCCCCGGCUAACUACGUG